This 427-nucleotide unclassified non-coding RNA is filed under the name soil metagenome. Its description in RNAcentral is "partial contains 5.8S ribosomal RNA, internal transcribed spacer 2, and large subunit ribosomal RNA". The stretch from base 1 to 120 matches the Rfam family "5.8S ribosomal RNA", at positions 35 to 154 of the family's 154-position model. The record is from RNAcentral.
GAUGAAGAACGCAGCGAAAUGCGAUAAGUAAUGUGAAUUGCAGAUUUCAGUGAAUCAUCGAAUCUUUGAACGCACCUUGCGCCUUGUGGUAUUCCACAAGGCAUGCCCGUUUGAGUAUCAUUAAAUCAUCAACUCUAAAACCUUUGUGGUUUUUUUUAGAGCUUGGUCUUGAGGGUUUUGCAGGCUUUUUUUUUUUUUUCGAGUCUGCUCCCUUUAAAUGCAUUAGCGAGACUUCCCUAUGCUGAACCGUCUCUUUGACGUGAUAAUUAUCUGCGUCGAAUUUUGGUUCUCGUUGGGCUUGCUUCUAAUCGUCUGUUAAAGACAAAACGGAUUUGGGUGCAUAUAUGCGCCUUUUUCCAAAACCUUUUUUUGAUCUCAAAUCGGGUAGGACUACCCGCUGAACUUAAGCAUAUCAAUAAGCGGAGGA